CACGGAGUUAGCCGAUCCUUAUUCCUUCGGUACAUUCAGCUAAAUACACGUAUCUAGGUUUAUUCCCGAAUAAAAGCAGUUUACAACCCAUAGGGCAGUCUUCCUGCACGCGGCAUGGCUGGUUCAGAGUUGCCUCCAUUGACCAAUAUUCCUUACUGCUGCCUCCCGUAGGAGUCUGGUCCGUGUCUCAGUACCAGUGGUGGGGGGCCAUCCUCUCAGACUCCCCUAGUCAUCGUCGCCUUGGUGGGCCGUUACCCCGCCAACUAGCUAAUGACACGCAUGCCCAUCUCCAUCCUAUAAAUAUUUGAUCAUUGUCCCAGGUGGGACUGUGAUUUUAUGCGGUUGUUAAUCCGGAUUUCGUCCGGGUCUACUCCCCCAGAUGGAAGGUAGGUUGCAUACGCGUUACGCACCCGUGCGCCGGUCUCGAAGGUUGCGAAGCCAACCGUCCUACCCCUCGACUUGCAUGUUAUUAGGCCUGCCGCUAGUCGUUCAUCC
Molecule: ribosomal RNA, 495 nt
Filed under: uncultured Pedobacter sp.
Lineage: Bacteria; Pseudomonadati; Bacteroidota; Sphingobacteriia; Sphingobacteriales; Sphingobacteriaceae
Description: partial 16S ribosomal RNA
Source: RNAcentral